RNAcentral lists this ribosomal RNA (116 nucleotides) under Prolemur simus (greater bamboo lemur). The record is from RNAcentral. Lineage: Eukaryota; Metazoa; Chordata; Mammalia; Primates; Lemuridae.
ACAUAAUCCAGUCUAUGGCUGUAUAUCCCUGAAUUGUGUCUGGUCUCAGAGGCUAAGCAGCAUUGGGCAUGGUGAGUACUUGGAUGGGAGACCACCUGGGAAUACUGGGCUUUGUA